RNAcentral lists this ribosomal RNA (253 nucleotides) under uncultured bacterium. RNAcentral describes it as "partial 16S ribosomal RNA". It matches the Rfam family "Bacterial small subunit ribosomal RNA", at positions 524 to 776 of the family's 1533-position model. The record is from RNAcentral.
UACGGGGGGAGCAAGCGUUGUUCGGAUUUACUGGGCGUAAAGGGCGCGUAGGCGGCACCGCAAGUCGACUGUGAAAUCUCCGGGCUUAACUCGGAAAGGUCAGCCGAUACUGCGGGGCUAGAGUGCAGAAGGGGCAACUGGAAUUCUCGGUGUAGCGGUGAAAUGCGUCGAUAUCGAGAGGAACACCUGCGGCGAAGGCGGCCAACUGGUCCGGUACUGACGCUGAGGUGCGAAAGCGUGGGGAGCAAACAGG